Molecule: unclassified non-coding RNA, 223 nt
Filed under: fungal sp.
Lineage: Eukaryota; Fungi
Description: partial internal transcribed spacer region
Rfam family: Eukaryotic small subunit ribosomal RNA (bases 1-46)
Source: RNAcentral
AAGUCGUAACAAGGUAACCGUAGGUGAACCUGCGGUUGGAUCAUUAACUAAAUAAAAGGUUUGUUGCUGGGAUAACCGGUAACAGCCUAUUUACCCUUGUGAACAUGUUAUAGUCUCUGGCGGGUUAGCGCCCGCUACUUUAUUGAACCCUAUGAAUAAACAUAUGCCUAAAGAAACAUUAUUAAAAUUUAAACAACUUUUAACAACGGAUCUCUAGGCUCUC